RNAcentral lists this long non-coding RNA (214 nucleotides) under Phoenix dactylifera (date palm). RNAcentral's name for it is "long non-coding RNA (PDAC_LNC013421)". The record is from RNAcentral. Lineage: Eukaryota; Viridiplantae; Streptophyta; Magnoliopsida; Arecales; Arecaceae.
UGACCCGGUUUGGUAACCUAAUGGAGUUGUAAUCAAGCUAAGGUUAUAAUUAAAUGGGUUUUGGUCCUGAUUAGAUUGAAAGUUAUAAUUAAUUAUUUUUGUAUGGAGAAAAGGUUUGAUUAACCCUUUUUAUUAAGUCACGAUCUUGUUUUUAGUCUUGUUUAUUUUAUCUGGUCGAGUUCGGUCUGAAGUAGUUUAGCAAGAAUUAAAUUUA